This 406-nucleotide ribosomal RNA is filed under the name uncultured bacterium. RNAcentral describes it as "partial 16S ribosomal RNA". It matches the Rfam family "Bacterial small subunit ribosomal RNA", at positions 28 to 526 of the family's 1533-position model. The record is from RNAcentral.
GAUUAACGCUGGCGGCGUGCAUAACACAUGCAAGUCGAACGAAGGGGCGGACGGGUGAGUAACGCGUGAGUAACCUGCCUUACACAAGGGGAUAGCCGUUGGAAACGACGAAUAAUACUCUAUGGUGUAAGAUGGAGUCGCGUCUGAUUAGCCAGUUGGUGAGGUAACGGCCCACCAAGGCAACGGUCAGUAGCCGGCUUGGGAGAGGGUACGGCCUCAUUGGGACUGCGACACGGGCCAAACUCUACGGGAGGCAGCAGUGUGGAAGUUUGCCCACUGGGGGAAACCCUGAUGCAGCGACGCCGCGUGAUUUGGUAGGCCUUCGGGUCGUAAAAAUCUUUUGUAUGGGAAUCGGUACCAAACGAAUAAGGACCGGCUAAUUACGUGCCAGCAGCCGCGGUAAUAC